This 52-nucleotide transfer RNA is filed under the name Parasteatoda cingulata. RNAcentral's name for it is "tRNA-Ala". The record is from RNAcentral. Lineage: Eukaryota; Metazoa; Arthropoda; Arachnida; Araneae; Theridiidae.
AGGAAGUUAAAUGAUUGAUUUGCAUUCAAUUUUUAUGUUUAUAACAUACUUG